RNAcentral lists this ribosomal RNA (382 nucleotides) under uncultured eukaryote. RNAcentral describes it as "partial 18S ribosomal RNA". It matches the Rfam family "Eukaryotic small subunit ribosomal RNA", at positions 592 to 976 of the family's 1831-position model. The record is from RNAcentral.
CAAUAGCGUAUAUUAAAGUUGUUGCAGUUAAAAAGCUCGUAGUUGGAUUUCUGGUUGAAGCGACCGGUCGGGCGUUGAUUCGUCUGCACUGGAGUCGGUUUUGGCCAUCCUCUAGGAAAGUGCGUCUGGUAUUAAGUUAUCGGGCGUAUGAUCCUGGUCUUUUACUGUGAAAAAAUUAGAGUGUUUAAAGCAGGCCUUCGCCUUGAAUACAUUAGCAUGGAAUAAUAAGAUAGGACUUUGGUCUAUUUUGUUGGUUUGCAGACCGAAGCAAUGAUUAAUAGGGAUAGUUGGGGGUAUUUAUAUUCCGAUGUCAGAGGUGAAAUUCUUAGAUUUUCGGAAGAUAAACUUAUGCGAAAGCAUUUACCAAGGAUGUUUUCAUUAA